CCUACGGGCGGCUGCAGUGGGGAAUAUUGCACAAUGGGCGCAAGCCUGAUGCAGCAACGCCGCGUGAGGGACGACGGCCUUCGGGUUGUAAACCUCUUUUAGCAGGGAAGAAGCGAAAGUGACGGUACCUGCAGAAAAAGCACCGGCUAACUACGUGCCAGCAGCCGCGGUAAUACGUAGGGUGCAAGCGUUAUCCGGAAUUAUUGGGCGUAAAGAGCUCGUAGGCGGUUUGUCGCGUCUGCUGUGAAAACUGGGGGCUCAACCCCCAGCCUGCAGUGGGUACGGGCAGACUAGAGUGCGGUAGGGGAGAUUGGAAUUCCUGGUGUAGCGGUGGAAUGCGCAGAUAUCAGGAGGAACACCGAUGGCGAAGGCAGAUCUCUGGGCCGUAACUGACGCUGAGGAGCGAAAGCGUGGGGAGCAAACAGGCUUAGAUACCCUGGUAGUC
RNAcentral lists this ribosomal RNA (445 nucleotides) under uncultured Microbacterium sp. RNAcentral describes it as "bacterial SSU rRNA". It matches the Rfam family "Bacterial small subunit ribosomal RNA", at positions 338 to 795 of the family's 1533-position model. The record is from RNAcentral. Lineage: Bacteria; Bacillati; Actinomycetota; Actinomycetes; Micrococcales; Microbacteriaceae.